This 492-nucleotide ribosomal RNA is filed under the name uncultured bacterium. Its description in RNAcentral is "partial 16S ribosomal RNA". It matches the Rfam family "Bacterial small subunit ribosomal RNA", at positions 29 to 507 of the family's 1533-position model. The record is from RNAcentral.
AGUGAACGCUGGCGGUAGGCCUAACACAUGCAAGUCGAACGGCAGCACAGUAAGAGCUUGCUCUUACGGGUGGCGAGUGGCGGACGGGUGAGGAAUACAUCGGAAUCUAAUUUUUCGGGGGGGAUAACGUAGGGAAACUUACGCUAAUACCGCAUACGAUCUACGGGUGAAAGCAGGAGAUCUUCGGACCUUGCGCGAUUGAAUGAGCCGAUGUCGGAUUAGCUAGUUGGCGGGGUAAAGGCCCACCAAGGCGACGAUGCGUAGCUGGUCUGAGAGGAUGAUCAGCCACACUGGAACUGAGACACGGUCCAGACUCCUACGGGAGGCAGCAGUGGGGAAUAUUGGACAAUGGGCGAAAGCCUGAUCCAGCAAUACCGCGUGGGUGAAGAAGGUCUUCGGGUCGUAAAGCCCUUUUGUUGGGAAAGAACAGCAGCAGGUUAAUCCCCCGCCGUUUUGACGGUACCCAAAGAGAAAGCAACGGCUAACUUCGUG